AUUGAACGCUGGCGGAAUGCUUUACACAUGCAAGUCGAGCGGCAGCGCGGGGCAACCUGGCGGCGAGCGGCGAACGGGUGAGUAAUACAUCGGAACGUGCCCAGACGUGGGGGAUAACUACUCGAAAGAGUGGCUAAUACCGCAUACGAUCUGAGGAUGAAAGCGGGGGAUCGCAAGACCUCGCGCGUCUGGAGCGGCCGAUGGCAGAUUAGGUAGUUGGUGAGGUAAAGGCUUACCAAGCCUGCGAUCUGUAGCUGGUCUGAGAGGAUGAUCAGCCACACUGGGACUGAGACACGGCCCAGACUCCUACGGGAGGCAGCAGUGGGGAAUUUUGGACAAUGGGCGAAAGCCUGAUCCAGCCAUUCCGCGUGCAGGAUGAAGGCCCUCGGGUUGUAAACUGCUUUUGUACGGAACGAAAAAGACUCCGGCUAAUACCUGGAGUCCAUGACGGUACCGUAAGAAUAAGCACCGGCUAACUACGUGCCAG
This 487-nucleotide ribosomal RNA is filed under the name uncultured bacterium. RNAcentral describes it as "bacterial SSU rRNA". It matches the Rfam family "Bacterial small subunit ribosomal RNA", at positions 30 to 511 of the family's 1533-position model. The record is from RNAcentral.